AUUAACUACCACACUACCUUGAACACACUGGGUCUCAUGUGAUCUCACUAGCUAAACUCAGUCUGAUAAGUACUUGAAUGGAAGUAAAAUACAAUUAGAGAAGGUUUUUC
This 110-nucleotide ribosomal RNA is filed under the name Sorex araneus (European shrew). Lineage: Eukaryota; Metazoa; Chordata; Mammalia; Eulipotyphla; Soricidae. The record is from RNAcentral.